GAAAUGCGAUAAGUAAUGUGAAUUGCAGAAUUCCGUGAAUCAUCGAAUCUUUGAACGCACAUUGCGCCCCCUGGCAUUCCGGGGGCAUGCCUGUCCGAGCGUCAUUUCUGCCCUCAAGCACGGCUUGUGUGUUGGGUGUGGUCCCCCCGGGGACCUGCCCGAAAGGCAGCGGCGACGUCCGUCUGGUCCUCGAGCGUAUGGGGCUCUGUCACUCGCUCGGGAAGGACCUGCGGGGGUUGGUCACCACCAUAUUUCACCACGGUUGACCUCGGAUCAGGUAGGAGUUACCCGCUGAACUUAAGC
Molecule: unclassified non-coding RNA, 303 nt
Filed under: plant metagenome
Description: partial contains 5.8S ribosomal RNA, internal transcribed spacer 2, and large subunit ribosomal RNA
Rfam family: 5.8S ribosomal RNA (bases 1-104)
Source: RNAcentral